ACGCAGUGGUAAUUUGAGCCGGCCGGCUUGCAGCCACUUAAAAUAAAUAGCUAAAAGGUCGGGAGC
RNAcentral lists this non-coding RNA (66 nucleotides) under marine eukaryotic metagenome. Its description in RNAcentral is "SAM riboswitch (alpha-proteobacteria)". The stretch from base 5 to 63 matches the Rfam family "Alpha-proteobacteria SAM riboswitch aptamer", at positions 10 to 68 of the family's 79-position model. From Rfam's summary of the family: This family is a riboswitch found predominantly in alpha-proteobacteria that binds S-adenosyl methionine (SAM). This SAM riboswitch is located upstream of the metA and metC genes in Agrobacterium tumefaciens, and other methionine and SAM biosynthesis genes in other alpha-proteobacteria. The record is from RNAcentral.